AGAGUUUGAUCCUGGCUCAGGAAUGAACGUUGGCGGCGUGGGAUUAGGCAUGCAAGUCGUACGCACAGCUUCGGGCUGUGAGUGGCGCAAGGGUGAGUAAUGCGAAGGUAACCAACCCUGGAGUUGGGCAUAACCGCGGGAAACUGCGGGUAAUUCCCAGCGAUGUCGCGAGAUGGCAUCAUCUUGCGACCAAAGGUGUGAUUCCGCUCUAGGACGGGCCUUCGUGGUAUUAGGUAGUUGGUGAGGUAACGGCUCACCAAGCCGACGAUGCCUACCGGGUGUGAGAGCAUGACCCGGCACACUGGAACUGAGACACUGUCCAGACACCUACGGGUGGCUGCAGUCGAGAAUCUUCGGCAAUGGGCGAAAGCCUGACCGAGCGACGCCGCGUGAGGGAAGAAGGCCUUCGGGUUGUAAACCUCUUUCGUAGAGGAGGAAGGGGCCGUGCAGAGCGGUCUUUGACCUAUUCUAGGAAGAAGCUUGGGCUAAGUUCGUG
RNAcentral lists this ribosomal RNA (496 nucleotides) under uncultured bacterium. RNAcentral's name for it is "bacterial SSU rRNA". It matches the Rfam family "Bacterial small subunit ribosomal RNA", at positions 8 to 507 of the family's 1533-position model. The record is from RNAcentral.